UACGUAGGGGGCAAGCGUUGUCCGGAAUUAUUGGGCGUAAAGAGCGUGUAGGCGGUCCGGUAAGUCAGCUGUGAAAGUCAAGGGCUCAACCCUUGAAAGCCGGUUGAUACUGUCGGGCUAGAGUCCGGAAGAGGCGAGUGGAAUUCCCGGUGUAGCGGUGAAAUGCGCAGAUAUCGGGAGGAGCACUAAUGGCGAAGGCAGCUCGCUGGGACGGUACUGACGCUGAGACGCGAAAGCGUGGGGAGCAAACAGG
This 253-nucleotide ribosomal RNA is filed under the name uncultured bacterium. Its description in RNAcentral is "partial 16S ribosomal RNA". It matches the Rfam family "Bacterial small subunit ribosomal RNA", at positions 524 to 776 of the family's 1533-position model. The record is from RNAcentral.